UUUUCCAAGUGCUUAGCUUACUGGUCCAGUAAGCUGUGAAAAGGGAUGUGUUCAUUAAGCAUAUCCCUUCUUGUGGUUAGAAGUAAAGGAGUCAAAGAUGCCAGAACUGCAGAAGCAAACAAAUGCCCAUGUUACUGUUCAACGCUCACCAGACCGUGUCAUGAGUGAAAAAUCAACACUGCUAUUUGGGAGUUGUCUCUACUGUAGCUACUGUUAUUUGACCUGACAUAGAAAUUAGUUCUUUGAGGUGGGAUGCUCCUGUAACAAAUCUUAAAAUAAUUGUGGCAUUGGCUCAUGUGUCUGGAGGUGGUUGGAAAGGAAUCUGAUAUUGGAAGCCGUAAAUGUGGUGCUACAUGUUAUUCAAAGGCAAAAUGUUUGAUGUAAUGGUUGUCCAUGGUAUCUUUAGAGGCAAAGCAAUGGUUGCUCACUUGCUGAUUUGCCCAGGGUAUUUCAGGAGAUGUAUGUUCAGGAAAAUCUUUCUGGUUGACAGGCCAGAAAUGUAAAGAAUGAAAAGAAAAAUAAUACA
Long non-coding RNA from Orcinus orca (killer whale), 526 nucleotides. RefSeq lists it as uncharacterized. The transcript has 2 exons. The record is from RefSeq and is a predicted model, not a curated record. NCBI's taxonomy places the organism in Eukaryota, Metazoa, Chordata, Mammalia, Artiodactyla, Delphinidae.